RNAcentral lists this ribosomal RNA (794 nucleotides) under uncultured Pelagibacteraceae bacterium. Its description in RNAcentral is "bacterial SSU rRNA". It matches the Rfam family "Bacterial small subunit ribosomal RNA", at positions 45 to 887 of the family's 1533-position model. The record is from RNAcentral. Lineage: Bacteria; Pseudomonadati; Pseudomonadota; Alphaproteobacteria; Candidatus Pelagibacterales; Candidatus Pelagibacteraceae.
CGCCUAACACAUGCAAGUCGAACGAAGUAGCAAUACUUAGUGGCAGACGGGUGAGUAACAUGUGGGUAUCUACCCUAUGGCCUGGAAUAACACGAGGAAACUUGUGCUAAUACUGGAUAAGUCUUUACGGAGAAAGCUUUAUGCACCAUUGGAUGAGCCCGCACUUGAUUAGUUUGUUGGUAGGGUAAUGGCCUACCAAGACUUUGAUCAAUAGCUGAUUUGAGAGGAUGAUCAGCCACAUUGGGACUGAGACACGGCCCAAACUCCUACGGGAGGCAGCAGUGGGGAAUCUUGCACAAUGGAGGAAACUCUGAUGCAGCGAUGCCGCGUGAGUGAAGAAGGCCUUUGGGUUGUAAAGCUCUUUCGUCGGGGAAGAAAAUGACUGUACCCGAAUAAGAAGGUCCGGCUAACUUCGUGCCAGCAGCCGCGGUAAUACGAAGGGACCUAGCGUAGUUCGGAAUUACUGGGCUUAAAGAGUUCGUAGGUGGUUGAAAAAGUUGGUGGUGAAAUCCCAGAGCUUAACUCUGGAACUGCCAUCAAAACUUUUCAGCUAGAGUUUGAUAGAGGAAAGCAGAAUUUCUAGUGUAGAGGUGAAAUUCGUAGAUAUUAGAAAGAAUACCAAUUGCGAAGGCAGCUUUCUGGAUCAUUACUGACACUGAGGAACGAAAGCAUGGGUAGCGAAGAGGAUUAGAUACCCUCGUAGUCCAUGCCGUAAACGAUGUGUGUUAGACGUUGGAAAUUUAUUUUCAGUGUCGCAGCGAAAGCGAUAAACACACCGCCUGGGGAGUACGACC